This 240-nucleotide unclassified non-coding RNA is filed under the name soil metagenome. Its description in RNAcentral is "partial contains 5.8S ribosomal RNA, internal transcribed spacer 2, and large subunit ribosomal RNA". The record is from RNAcentral.
AACACUGUUAACCUGCGGUACCUGCGGAAGGAUCAUUAAAAAGAGUGUGUACCCCUCUGUAAAAUGAGUGGGUUACCUCCCGUCCUUUGUUGACCUCUUAGGAGGUUAUUUUGAACUUUCUGCUUCGGUGGGGUUAAACCUACCGGAACACCCUCAAAUUCUUAUCAUUUAAAAAUUGUUCAGUCUGAUUUUUGUUAAUAAAAACAAAAAACUUUCAGCAAUGGAUCUCAGAUCGGAAGA